This is a non-coding RNA of Heterocephalus glaber (naked mole-rat), 2778 nucleotides long. NCBI's taxonomy places the organism in Eukaryota, Metazoa, Chordata, Mammalia, Rodentia, Bathyergidae. The record is from RefSeq and is a predicted model, not a curated record.
CCUGCAGGGCCCAGGCUCAUGUGCAGGAAGCCCUGACUCUGGGCACAGCGGCCCCACAGGCCUGGCCCCAGCCCAGCCCCACCCCUCCAGCCAUGCCAGGGGCGUUGCUGGGCAGCCUGGGCACUGCCAGCCAGGCCCAGCCUCCAUAAAGCCCUGGCGGCCGGGGUCUGGGGCCAGCAGGAUGGAGCGCAGACUCGUGUCCUCUGUCCGUCGCUCCUAUGCUUCCUCCUCCUCGGAGACAGUGGCUAGGGGCCUGCGGGCCGUGCGCCGCCUGGGUCCAGACCCCCGCCCUGCCCCGGCCUGGGUGUCCCCUCCGCUCCCGGCCCGGCUGGACUUCUCGCUGGCUGGGGCUCUCAACACUGGCUUCAAGCAGACACGGGCCAGCGAGCGGGCCCAGAUGAUGGAGCUCAAUGACCGGUUUGCCAGCUACAUCGAAAAGGUCCGGUUCCUGGAGCAGCAGAACAAGGCCCUGGCUGCUGAGCUGAACCAGCUGCGGGCUGCAGAGCCCACCCGGCUGGCCGACGUCUACCAGGCCGAGCUCCAGGAGCUGCGGCUGCGGCUGGACCAGCUCAUGGCAGGCAGCGCCCGGGUGGAGGUGGAGCGCGACAACCUGGCCCUGGACCUGGGCGCCCUGCAGCAGAAGCUCCAGGAUGAAGCCACCCUGAGGCUGCAGGCCGAGAACAGCCUGGCCAGCUACAGACAGGAGGCCGACGACGCCACCCUGGCCCAUCUGGACCUGGAGAGGAAAAUCGAGUCUCUGGAGGAGGAGAUCCGGUUCCUGGGGAAGAUCCAUGAGGAGGAGGUUCGGGAGCUCCAGGAGCAGCUGGCCAAGCAGCAGGUCCACGUGGAGAUGGACGUGGCUAAGCCCGACCUCACGGCGGCCCUGAGGGAGAUCCGCACGCAGUAUGCGGCCGCGGCCUCCAGUAACAUGCAGGAGGCAGAGGAGUGGUACCGCUCCAAGUUCACCGACCUCACGGACGCCGCUGCCCGAAAUGCUGAGCUGCUGCGCCAGGCCAAGCAUGAGGCCAGCGACUACCGGCGCCAGCUGCAGGCCCUGACCUGUGACCUGGAGUCCCUUCGGGGCACGAACGAGUCCCUAGAGCGGCAGAUGCGCGAGCAGGAGGAGCGCCACUCGAGAGAGGCUUCCACCUACCAGGAGGCGCUGGCCCGGCUGGAGGAGGAAGGCCGGGGCCUCAAGGAGCAGAUGGCCCGGCACCUGCAGGAGUACCAGGAGCUGCUCAACGUCAAGCUGGCCCUGGACAUGGAGAUUGCCACCUACCGGAAGCUGCUGGAGGGCGAGGAGAACCGCAUCACCAUUCCCGUGCAGACUUUCUCCAACCUGCAGAUCCGAGGAGGCAAAGGCACCACAAAAGGGGAGGUCCGCAAGGUCACCAGAUACCUCAAAAGCCUCACCAUGCGAGUUAUCCCAGUGCAGGCCCCGCAGAGUGUAGGCAGAGCCACCGGCUCUCGGUUAGCUGCCCCUUGCAGCUGGAGAGGAGUGGGGCUCGGGGCCACGCUCCUGGUCCCCCAGCCCCCUCCCAGGUGUCCCUUAGAGGACCAGGACAGAGUCACGGUUCCCAGGAACCGCGUGACCAGCCAGGACCCAGCCCAGGCAACUGUAGUGUCGCCUCGAAGGCCUGGUCACUGUGAACGUGGUCCUGCUGGGUGCCCGACGAGCAGCUCACGGGCCAGGAGCGAGCGCCAGCCCGGCCUCCUCCUGUGUGGUGGGGAGCCCAGGCCACCUGGCUCUGCUGUGUCCGCCCGGCGGCCAAGGUGCUCAGGCCGGGCCCACUCAGCCUGGCAGGUUGCUCCCCUCCAGCUGCGGCUCUCACAGGAACAAAGCUUCCUGUCCCUGCUCUUAGCUGCAAAUGUCACUGACAGUGACUUGUAUUUUCCUCUCAAGGAGGGGCUGCGGCUAAAUUAUGUUUGAUUGUUCUGCGGCCCUCAAACAUUCCCAUCUUUGGGGAUGGAGUAUUCAGGACCAGAGGCAGGCAAGCCAGGACCUAGCUCAGUACCAAGUCCAGCCGGUUGGCCAGGCAGGCAACACCGCCACACGACACCAGGGGUCACCAGGCCCAGGCGAGCGAUGGGGGCAUAGGAAGGAGCUGAGUGCUCAGUGCCCCUCACUCCCCUAGGCGAGCGGGCACUGCCAUCUCUGUGGCCAGGGAGGAAGCCAAGGCUGGGUGGGGUCACAGGGCUGGUGAGUGGGCACAGGCUCCCAUGCACCAGAUCUCCAAGGCCGCUGCUCUGCCCUGUGCACUGGGCUGUCAGGUGCCAGGGCUGGGAACAGCAGCGCAAUGACAGCAGUGGAGGGGCCGCCGGGUGCAGGAGCAGCUGCCUGGGGUCCUAAGAGCCCAUGGAGGCCUCCCCUCUGCCCGCAGAGACCAGCGUGGACACGAAGUCCGUGUUGGAAGGCCACCUCAGGAGGAACAUCGUGCUCAAGACAGUGGAGAUGCGUGACGGGGAGGUGAGCAGCCCCGCCCCGGCCCUGCCAGCUGGGCUGUCUCACCCUCAGGUCACUCAGGAGUCCAAGCAGGAGCACAAGGACGCCAUGUGAGCCAAGCGCUGAGGGCUGCCCCCCGCUCCACUGCCCAGGCCUGCCUGGCUGGCCACCUCCAGCCUCCUGGCCCUAUCCUGCUGGUUGCUCUGUCACACUAGGCCUGCGCAGCAUGCAGCACCCCGCACCCCGCUCUGCAAACUAACAGGCGCCCUUCCCAUGGGGCAGUCGGAGGGACGGGGCCAGUGGCUUGGUUAGAAAGUGGGCGGGCAGAGACACAG